Molecule: ribosomal RNA, 253 nt
Filed under: uncultured bacterium
Lineage: Bacteria
Description: partial 16S ribosomal RNA
Rfam family: Bacterial small subunit ribosomal RNA
Source: RNAcentral
GACGAACCGUGCAAACGUUAUUCGGAAUCAUUGGGCUUAAAGAGCGCGUAGGCGGCGCGGUAAGUCGGGUGUGAAAUCUCGGAGCUUAACUCCGAAACUGCAUUCGAUACUGCCGUGCUUGAGGACUGGAGAGGAGACUGGAAUUUACGGUGUAGCGGUGAAAUGCGUAGAUAUCGUAAGGAAGACCAGUGGCGAAGGCGGGUCUCUGGACAGUUCCUGACGCUGAGGCACGAAGGCCAGGGGAGCAAACGGG